Molecule: ribosomal RNA, 511 nt
Filed under: uncultured bacterium
Lineage: Bacteria
Description: bacterial SSU rRNA
Rfam family: Bacterial small subunit ribosomal RNA
Source: RNAcentral
GAGUUUGAUUCUGGCUCAGGAUGAACGCUGGCGGCGUGCCUAAUACAUGCAAGUGAAACGGGUAUCUUCGGAUACCAGUCGCGGACGGGUGAGUAAUACAUAGGCAACCUGCCUUUAUGAGGGGGAUAACCGAGGGAAACUUUGGCUAAUACCGCAUGAAGACUCUAAGGCAUCUUAGAGGGAUAAAAGUUGGGAAACAACGCAUGAAGAUGGGCUUAUGGCGCAUUAGCUAGUGGUGAGAUAGAAGCCCACCAAGGUAAUGAUGCGUAGCCGACCUGAGAGGGUGAACGGCCACAUUGGGACUGAGACACGGCCCAAACUCCUACGGGAGGCAGCAGUAGGGAAUUUUCGGCAAUGGGGGGAACCCUGACCGAGCAACGCCGCGUGAAGGAAAAGAAGGUUUUCGGAUUGUAAACUUCUGUUAUAAGGGAAGAACGGAUUGGAUAGGGAAUGAUCUGAUAGUGACGGUACCUUAUUAGAAAGCCACGGCUAACUACGUGCCAGCAGCAGC